UACGAAGGGGGCUAGCGUUGCUCGGAAUCACUGGGCGUAAAGCGCACGUAGGCGGCUCUUUAAGUCAGGGGUGAAAUCCUGGAGCUCAACUCCAGAACUGCCUUUGAUACUGAGAAGCUUGAGUCCGGGAGAGGUGAGUGGAACUGCGAGUGUAGAGGUGAAAUUCGUAGAUAUUCGCAAGAACACCAGUGGCGAAGGCGGCUCACUGGCCCGUAACUGACGCUGAGGCACGAAAGCGUGGGGAGCAAACAGG
This 253-nucleotide ribosomal RNA is filed under the name uncultured bacterium. RNAcentral's name for it is "partial 16S ribosomal RNA". It matches the Rfam family "Bacterial small subunit ribosomal RNA", at positions 524 to 776 of the family's 1533-position model. The record is from RNAcentral.